This is a long non-coding RNA of Alosa alosa (allis shad), 178 nucleotides long. RefSeq lists it as uncharacterized. The record is from RefSeq and is a predicted model, not a curated record. The transcript has 2 exons. Lineage: Eukaryota; Metazoa; Chordata; Actinopteri; Clupeiformes; Clupeidae.
CUCCAGCUGCUCUAAGCAGUGUACCAAAUAAGCGCAAGAGCGUUGCUAAGGGCUAUCCCCCUAAGCAGUAGUGAAGGACCCAAAACCAGGAGGUUGUGGUGACUUGGUGAUUGCCAGGGGAAAAAAUAUCUCCUUUGCACCUUGAUUUGUUUUAAUAAACAUUUGAAUACUAGAGCAA